Molecule: long non-coding RNA, 676 nt
Organism: Sceloporus undulatus (fence lizard)
Lineage: Eukaryota; Metazoa; Chordata; Lepidosauria; Squamata; Phrynosomatidae
Exons: 2
Source: RefSeq, a predicted model, not a curated record
GCCCCGGAUGAGCCUGCGAGAGGGCUGGGCUGCAGGAGGAGCAGCUCCGCUCCACAAGCCUUGUUGCAAGCAGGAGAACCAGGGGGGCAUCUGCACUGCACUGCACAGCACAAAUCACUCAGUUUGACACCACUCCAACUGCCCUGGCUCCACCUGAAAAGGAAGCCUUGCAAACAAGAAAAGCAGAGGGAGAUUGGGAGAGAGGAUGGGGGUGCACCUGCACUGGAGAAAUGACCCCCUUUGAAUGGCCCUGGCUCCAUCUUGCAAGGAAGGCUGGCCAGAAGGAAAACCAAGGGAGAGUUGGAGAGAGGAUGGGAGGCACCUGCACUGUAGAAAUAAUGUAGUUUGACAGCACUUGAACUGCCCUGGCUCCAUCCUAAAAGGAAGCCUUGCAAGCAGGAGAACUAGGGGAAGAUGUGGAGAGAGGUUGUUCGGUGUCAUGCCUUGAUCAAGAAUCGUUUCCCAUUACGUCCUGAGGUCUCCUUCUCCAUUAGAUGUCUCAGUUUAAAAUGUUCAGACUGCAAGGAUGCCUAAAUGAGGUUGCCUCAAUUACCGGAAGCGGGUGCGACACAGGCAUGUCCGGACUAGUCCCUGAGCGAUUACGAGCUUGAUUCUGCUGUUGCUAGUUAUCAAAAAAGGCAUUACAUUCAACAGAAAUAAACAAUUUGUAAAACUA